This 473-nucleotide ribosomal RNA is filed under the name uncultured bacterium. RNAcentral's name for it is "bacterial SSU rRNA". It matches the Rfam family "Bacterial small subunit ribosomal RNA", at positions 11 to 469 of the family's 1533-position model. The record is from RNAcentral.
GUUUGAUCCUGGCUCAGAGCGAACGUUAGCGGCGCGCCUAACACAUGCAAGUCGCACGAGAAAGGGGGCAACCCCCGGUACAGUGGCGCACGGGUGAGUAACACGUGGGUGAUCUGCCCAGAAGAAGGGGAUAACCUCUCGAAAGGGGGGCUAAUACCGCAUAGGACCACCGGGGCUUUGGCUCUGUGGUGAAAGGGGGCCUCUGUUUACAAGCUCCUGCUUCUGGAUGAGCCCGCGUCCCAUCAGCUAGUUGGUAGGGUAAUGGCCUACCAAGGCUACGACGGGUAGCUGGUCUAAGAGGAUGGCCAGCCACACUGGAACUGAGACACGGUCCAGACUCCUACGGGAGGCAGCAGUGGGGAAUCUUGCGCAAUGGGCGAAAGCCUGACGCAGCGACGCCGCGUGGGUGACGAAGGCCUCGGUUGUAAAGACCCUCGUGGGGUAGGUAACGGAACGUAGGCGAUCGGGCGUAA